RNAcentral lists this ribosomal RNA (266 nucleotides) under uncultured Nitrosomonas sp. RNAcentral's name for it is "partial 16S ribosomal RNA". It matches the Rfam family "Bacterial small subunit ribosomal RNA", at positions 230 to 488 of the family's 1533-position model. The record is from RNAcentral. Lineage: Bacteria; Pseudomonadati; Pseudomonadota; Betaproteobacteria; Nitrosomonadales; Nitrosomonadaceae.
CCGAUGUCUGAUUAGCUAGUUGGUAAGGUAAUGGCUUACCAAGGCGACGAUCAGUAGUUGGUCUGAGAGGACGGCCAGCCACACUGGGACUGAGACACGGCCCAGACUCCUACGGGAGGCAGCAGUGGGGAAUUUUGGACAAUGGGCGCAAGCCUGAUCCAGCAAUGCCGCGUGAGUGAAGAAGGCCUUCGGGUUGUAAAGCUCUUUCAGUCGAGAAGAAAAGGUUGUGACUAAUAAUCAUAACUCAUGACGGUAUCGACAGAAGA